Long non-coding RNA from Siniperca chuatsi (mandarin fish), 5870 nucleotides. RefSeq lists it as uncharacterized. NCBI's taxonomy places the organism in Eukaryota, Metazoa, Chordata, Actinopteri, Centrarchiformes, Sinipercidae. The record is from RefSeq and is a predicted model, not a curated record. The transcript has 3 exons.
UAACGAUGGCAGAGGGAGGAGGAGGAGGAGGAGGGGGGAAAGAGAAAAUUGGCCUGCAUGAUGGAAAGAUCUGACGCACAUUAACGUUACUGCGUAAAAACAAUCCAAACAUUUAACUUUGCUAAUGCAAACUCUCUGGAAAGCUGGAGAAUGAAAACGACGACAGCUAAGUUCCCUGAAUCCUCCUAGUUGUGUUAACGUUUGUUUGUUUUUUAUUGUGCAUGCAUAGAUUUUUCUGAUAUUUAAUUCAUUCCCGUGCAUGUCUGCCCAUAUGAUACUCUGUGAUGCGUGAAGAUGAAACAUUUUUACUAUUUGGUGCUGAAAUGCAUGCCUUGAUAUUUCCAGCUUUACAGCCCGCCGUGUAGAUCCAAGCUGCGAAUGCAAAGCAUGAAUUUACGUCUAUUUAUUCCCACAGGAUUAGCCGAAGGUGGGAAGAAUAUUGAGCAGCAGCGGCAGCAGCACCGGCGACAAUGAAUGGAGAGAAUAAAGAGUUUCCUUAAGAGUUUGGAAGAGGUGCUAACGACCCCAAUCAUUGCAUGUUUUUACAUUUGAAAAAAGUAGGAAAUGCGGGCAGCGGGUGAAUGCAAAGAGAGCAUUUAUUCACAAGCAUGAAGGUGAGCGGUGUAGGCUGGGCUCAGGGAGAGGAUGUCGGAUCCGAUACAGAGGGUUUCCUCCGUAGUGUGGGAACAUUUGGGAAGACUAGUGAAAGAACAGGACAUUUCGUAUUUCAGCUAACGUUCAAAGCGACUAAAGAAAUGUGUGGUAAAUUAACAAUAUAGGAAUUUAAACUCAAGACAUAUUCCGACAAGCGAUUUAAACGUUCAAUUGAUUUUAUCGGAAGUCUUUUAGCAGGUUAAUGAAAAUAUCUAUAAUCAACACCAGUCAGUUAUUUGUGACAAAGAUUUAUUUGAAUACAUUAAAACACAUAAAUGAAUUAGAAAUGAAGAUAUGCUGUAAUCAACGAUUAGGCUAUUUCUGAGCCCCACGCUCCUUUUUCUCAAUUAAAACACUGUAUGAGGCAGAAUACAUUUUAAUUCAGGAAGUAUCGUUAUUAUUAUUGUUAUUAGGCAUAUUAUUGUUAUUAUUAUUAUUGCCAAAUUAAAUAAAUUACACGUGUCACCUAUGAAUGACAUAAUUACCAUUCAUUACUUAACUCAUAUGAUGAAAACUGAAUGUAGGCCUAUCUUCUAACAACAAAAGCGCAUUUUCAUGAAUUUAUUUUGCAGUUUACUUUGCUUUAAAAUCCCAUCUGGGUUAUUUUUGUAUCUUAUAGUUUUUGGAGUAAAUGUGAUCCUUUAAUUGGAUUUAGCAGUGCACUGAGGUGCUGCUUCAUGCGCCACCUUCGACACCUCUGCUCUCGGGAUACAAGUCGGAUUAAUCAAACGCUAUCAUUAAUGAUGCGCGUAUGGGUCAAAGGACGGAAACAUGGCUUCCGAUUAGACUCGCCUUGUGUUAAUCUCUCGGUGACCUGUGUGAUCUGGAGGUCCGUCAAUACGGAUUACUUAGCAGAUGAAACCAGAAUCUACAUCAACUUUUAUCCUGCUUAUCCGCAGGGCGCAUGUGUAUUGAGGAAAGCGCUGCUUCUGUUUAGUUUCUGGAUUUUUCAUAAAUCAGCAAAAUGAACUUUUGUGAAGGUUGCUUGUUUGGGAGGUUUUGCUAAAAUCGAAAAUGAUCCGAUCAAAGAUGUUUUUGUCUCCUUUGCACUGCUGAUUUGACACAUUUCCUGCAUUUCUUCAAAGCAUCAGAAGUCCAUUGAACUCUUUUUGAUAUUAGUGGCCUUUUUGAUAGUAAAUGGUGCCUUUUAAAAAUGCUGCAAGAAAUGUUUUAUAGCAGCAAAAUAAGAGAGCCACUGUCUUAACCAACAUCUCUCCCCUCUCUCUCCCCCUGUGUGUGUGUGUGUGUAUGUGUGUGUGUGUGUGUGGAGAGACAGGUGCAGCCAGCCUCCUUUUAAAAAAUCUCAGAGUCGCAGUGUUGUGUGAAAGGCGGCGUAACUGCUGAUAUAACCUGACUGAAACAGCACCGAGAGGAGGUUUCAUACCCGUCCUUCCUGUGAUCUUUUGAAGCCUCAUAAAUCCGCUUUUAUACCUCCGCAGUUUGUUAAUGAAAUGUACGUUUUAAGCACACAUGCACGGCUUAGCGCGACAAAACCUUUUAGUAUAAUAAGCCAACUCGCUCCGGCAUGAAACCAUUAGGGGGGGACAGACAGAAGAGACAGCGGAGCAGCAGCAGCAGCAGCACAGGUGAUGGAGAGGAAACAGUCUCCACAUGUGAUCACUGUAAACUACCAGCAAGGUCACCGAACAAAUAGGCUAAUUGUGAUCAUAAUAAUGUGAUGCUCUGGUGAUUCCUGAGAGGGAGGACUUUUUUCUCUCUUGUCCCCCUUGUGGAUUCCUCUGUCUCACUGGGGUCAGAGGUCAGGGUCAGCUGCAGAAGACGGCAGGGUGUCGGUUGUUUGCUCAAGGACACUUCAGCAGGGUGGGAGAUGAUCUGUCUAAAUGAAUGAAGGUGGAUGGAGAUGCUAAAUAUUGUUAUUUCAUUUCAAGGGGGGAGGGGGGCAUUUUCACGUGUUUCGAUACUUUUUCCUUUGUGUGACAUUAUCUGAUGCCACUGGAGUGGUUGUCCUGAAUUUUCUGCUUUAAAAUUUCCAUAUAAUAGUUAUUUCAAAGUAUAUCUUCAAAACUUGGGAAAGUGCGCAUUCUCAAGCCUUUCUGAAGGUCAUAAGACCAAAUAUGAAAAAUAUGGGACUUGUGAAGAUUUGAGAGCAUUUUAAGACAUUCUUUAUUGCAGUUUGUAUGUGUGCGAGCUAAAUGUCAAGGGCUUGCGGGGGAUAAAAAGGUGUGGAGGUUUAUAUGGGAAAGGUGGAUGCACAUCCAAUCAAUAGUGACUCCUCGCUCUCUUUCUCUUUUGAUUUCUUAAAAAUGGGCUAUGUUACAAAAAAACCCUGUUGUUGUGCAGUAAAAUGUGGCGCAUAUAAGUACUAAUUUGGAAACCUCUUAUGUGGCCCCUUUAGAGGAUUGUUAUCAUUUCAGAAAAAAAGUUAAAAUCUUUGUUUAUUAUUAAUUAGUUAUUAAAAUCUCUGUUAACUAAUGAUACAAAUACGAGACUAGCUAUUUUACGUCAUAUCUGCACACAUAAUAAGUGCCCAUAUUACAAACACAUUAUUCCAGGACAAAUUAAACCCCCCCCAAAACUGAACCUUGUUUGACUCACAUUCUUGCAUCGAAAACAGCUGUUUGUGAAACCAGAUUUUUGAAAGGCAACUCAUUUAAUUAAUUAGGUGAGAGAGCAGUUGGGGCAGCAGCUAGUGAAACGAUAUGAUAAAUUAAUGCCAUUGUUAGCGCGCCUGUAAUUACGACCAUUAUGUUAAUUAUUUUACACCAGUAGCCAAAUCUUCAGCUUGUCAGAUUUAAUAGCUAAAAACAAGAUGUUCUCAAAAAAAAGUGAAAAAGCUCACCAUAUCUGCAAAUAUGUGUGCCACACAACAGAUACACAAAAAGAAUGGAUUAUUGAAAUAUGUUUCCUCUAAUUGGGUGUUUCAUGAUCGACAAUGUGAAUCCUGCAGAGCCCUGGAAAGCAGGCAUGUGAGGUGCCCCCCCCCCUUCCUCUUCUUUUUGGAAAUCACCAUUUUCAGCCCUUCUCAAAGAAUCCACUCUAUCAACCUGCGAGUUUCUGUCAAACAAUAUGAUGGAGCCCAUUUUUAACCCUCCCUCCUGCGGGAUCAGCCGGAGCCAGAUCUCAGCUUCACAACAAAGCACAAAGGGCCCAGAAUAGAAGACACGUGUGCAUGUUGUCUAUGUGUGCGUGUUUGUGUAUAUAUUGGACAUCCCAUCUGUUUGACCCGUCCGUAUAAAGACACCACGCAGCAGAUCAGGCUGCACAGCCAGGUGACGUAGAAGGACUCACCUCCUGUCUUAGCUCGCUUUCGUUUCGUUCAUAGUUUUGGGCUGAGGUAGCUUAUGAUGGGCUCUGAAUGCAUGUUUUACAUUAGCUAUGAUAUAUGAUAAUAGCAUGUUUUUUAAAAAAAGCACUUGAUUUUAUAUUGGCGAUGAUCACCAUGUUGACUCAUCUUCUUAUUUAUUGUUUCCUCAAACAGAUGUUGUUGCUGAAGCCAGUGGAAAAAAAAAAUUAAAUUACAUUAAGAAACAGACUUUUUGAGUGAACAGCUGGAUAUCUGGGUCAGAGGGGCCUCUUGUGUUGUGGGUAGAUGCAGCACAUUACAGGAUUCUCCUUUAUAGGGGUUCCUCCUCCUGGGUCAGGUUUUGCUGCAUCCUGCGAGGGGCCGUCAAACUUUCGGAGGCUCACAAAGGCCCCAUUCUCCUCUGUGUUGCUCUUCUUCAUCACCCAGCUUCAGGGCAUAGCCGAUCUGCUCAAACCCCAGUAUUGUCUGGGCAAAACCACAUAUUAAAUUUGCCCCGCAUAAGCCAUUUCAUUGAGCUGCAGCAGGAAUUCCUUUGCUGGGUCAUUCAUCUGUGUACAUGGUUUGGACACACAUUUGAAACAAAGCAAGCCAGUCAAGGAUAAUAUUGAGGAAGUUACAUACAUUUCAAGUUUUGCAGCAUAUGUCAUUUCUGUUUCUUGCUCUUUUGACACUGGAGUUGUCGGUGCAGAUUCAUGCAGCGGGAACAUUGCGAUACUGUAGCUGCGAGCGAUCCAAAAUUUCUCCCUGCAUAUGUAAUGUUUUGCACUUCAUUAGGGAUUCUGGAUUUUCCCCAUCAGGAAUGUCAACUGAAUAGAAAGAGAGGGAAACUAAGAGAGCUCUCUAUCCACAGCAAACAAUUAACAAUGAAUAAUAAAGACAAAAAAUCAAAUUCAAGCCAACCAGAGGUUCUGUGGAUAAUUCAUCAGUUCUGUAUUGAAAUAGUACAUGAGCUUAUCUGUUGUUUGUUCAUUUAGUUAUGAAUCCAUUUUUUAUACCAUAUCUGUAACUUCAUCUCUGCACCAGCACAGCAUGAUUUAGUUUAUCACUUUAUAACCAUGUAAAUGAUUUAUGUUGUGCUACUUGUCCUUAUUGUAAUUACAAGAGUAUUUUAAAACUAGUAUUUUUAUCAAACAUUUAAAAACAGGAAAAACCUGGAAUGCCAUUAAGAUAUAAGAUCUGUUGCCCUUUGACAAACUUCUGAGAUCAUGAGCUCAACGCACUGCAACUUAAGAAAACACACGCAAAUAGACAAAACACAAGCAAAUGAGGCAUAACAAAACAUGAUGCAAAUUCAGACAACACAACCAAAUUUAGAAAUGCUUGACGUAGCUUGUUGACUACUCGUCAGUGGUGUCAGAAAAUGAGCAAAAAAAAGUUUAUUUCAGUUUAUUUCACAUUCUGAUUACAUGAUUCAGACAUUACUGCAUAGUGUAUAUAGUGUACAGGCCAAGUCAUGGAAUACUAACUCCAUGAGCCACAACCAUGGCAACGCCUCACAUGCAUGGAUGCAUUGAGAGACUCUUGUCCCAGUGGCCACGAGUGGUACUGCUACAACGAAAUCUCCUACAACCCAAAAGCAUUUUCCACACAUACCGACAUCUAUAAAACUGAUGACAGGACACCUCCAACUGCAAACAAUGUCAAUUAUUACUCUUUGUGUUAAAAAUAUUAAUUUUUAAUUUGUGGAGGUUUUAUAUUAGCAUUCCCAGAGCCUAGAAAAUGGGUUUUAAAGUAAUAAUAAUAAUAAACUUUAUUUGUAUAGCACCUUUCAUACAAAAAAUGCAGCUCGAAGUGCUUUACAACAAAUAAAAUACAUGCACCGAGUGCCUCACAUGAAAGACACAGAAUGAACAUAAAAACAGGGAUAGAAUGCCAUUAUUAAUGGAAAAUAAGAUGGAAAAUAAAAACUUCUUGAUAACAAGAGUAAAAUUAAAAUAAAGAUGAAAAUAGA